GACGAACGCUGGCGGCGUGCUUAACACAUGCAAGUCGAGCGGUAAGGCCCUUUCGGGGGUACACGAGCGGCGAACGGGUGAGUAACACGUGGGUGACCUGCCCUCAGCUCUGGGAUAAGCCUGGGAAACCGGGUCUAAUACCGGAUAUGACUCCAUGACGCAUGUUGUGGGGUGGAAAGCCUUGUGCGGCUGAGGAUGGGCCCGCGGCCUAUCAGCUUGUUGGUGAGGUAACGGCNCACCAAGGCUUCGACGGGUAGCCGGCCUGAGAGGGCGACCGGCCACACUGGGACUGAGAUACGGCCCAGACUCCUACGGGAGGCAGCAGUGGGGAAUAUUGCGCAAUGGGCGGAAGCCUGACGCAGCGACGCCGCGUGGGGAUGACGGCC
This 386-nucleotide ribosomal RNA is filed under the name uncultured bacterium. RNAcentral's name for it is "bacterial SSU rRNA". It matches the Rfam family "Bacterial small subunit ribosomal RNA", at positions 28 to 416 of the family's 1533-position model. The record is from RNAcentral.